AAGCGAAGGUCCCAGCAGAGGGGUAAGAAACAUAGAAUGUGAACUCUCUAACGAUGAUAAACCUUCGUAGAGUAAUGUGCUGGAUUGAAGGAUUCUCCAAAUCAUGAUUAUGUUUUUGGAGCGUCUAGAACCCUCAGCUAAAUAUGA
Small nucleolar RNA from Malania oleifera, 147 nucleotides. RefSeq annotates it as small nucleolar RNA snoR145. The transcript has a single exon. Lineage: Eukaryota; Viridiplantae; Streptophyta; Magnoliopsida; Santalales; Ximeniaceae. The record is from RefSeq and is a predicted model, not a curated record.